This 92-nucleotide non-coding RNA is filed under the name Sporomusa sphaeroides. RNAcentral's name for it is "Sporomusa sp. NiCo sequence". It matches the Rfam family "NiCo (Nickel/Cobalt) riboswitch aptamer". The record is from RNAcentral. Lineage: Bacteria; Bacillati; Bacillota; Negativicutes; Selenomonadales; Sporomusaceae. RNAcentral also lists the same sequence under 1 other name.
ACAGUACAAACUGAUCAGGCGGUUAACUUAUAAGAAGUUAAUGCAGCUGGGCCGAUCAUGGCAGCAGGAUUAAUUAAGCCUGUGGGACAGAA